AGAGUUUGAUCCUGGCUCAGAUUGAACGCUGGCGGCAGGCCUAACACAUGCAAGUCGAGCGGCAGCGGAAGGAAGCUUGCUUCCUUGCCGGCGAGCGGCGGACGGGUGAGUAAGGUAUGGGGAUCUGGCCGAAGGCGGGGGAUAACCACUGGAAACGGUGGCUAAUACCGCAUAAUCUCUAAGGAGCAAAGUGGGGGACCAUUAUGGCCUUACACCUUCGGAUGAACCCGUAUGAGAUUAGCUAGUAGGUGGGGUAAAGGCUCACCUAGGCGACGAUCUCUAGCUGGUCUGAGAGGAUGAUCAGCCACACUGGGACUGAGACACGGCCCAGACUCCUACGGGAGGCAGCAGUGGGGAAUAUUGCACAAUGGGCGCAAGCCUGAUGCAGCCAUGCCGCGUGUAUGAAGAAGGCCUUCGGGUUGUAAAGUACUUUCAGUCGUGAGGAAGGUGUUAAGGUUAAUAGCCUUAGCAAUUGACGUUAGCGACAGAAGAAGCACCGGCUAACUCCGUGCCAGCAGCCGCGGUAAUACGGAGGGUGCGAGCGUUAAUCGAAAUUACUGGGCGUAAAGGGCACGCAGGCGGUUAAUUAAGUUGGAUGUGAAAUCCCCGGGCUUAACCUGGGAAUGGCAUUCAAGACUGGUUAGCUAGAGUCUUGUAGAGGGGGGUAGAAUUCCAUGUGUAGCGGUGAAAUGCGUAGAGAUGUGGAGGAAUACCGGUGGCAAAGGCGGCCCCUGGACAAAGACUGACGCUCAUGUGCGAAAGUGUGGGGAGCAAACAGGAUUAGAUACCCUGGUAGUCCACGCUGUAAACGAUGUCGAUUUGGAGGUUGUGGUCUAGAACUGUGGCCUCCGGAGCUAACGCGUUAAAUCGAUCGCCUGGGGAGUACGGCCGCAAGGUUAAAACUCAAAUGAAUUGACGGGGGCCCGCACAAGCGGUGGAACAUGUGGUUUAAUUCGAUGCCACGCGAAGAACCUUACCUACUCUUGACAUCCAGCGAAGCCUUUAGAGAUAGAGGCGUGCCUUCGGGAGCGCUGAGACAGGUGCUGCAUGGCUGUCGUCAGCUCGUGUUGUGAAAUGUUGGGUUAAGUCCCGUAACGAGCGCAACCCUUAUCCUUUGUUGCCAGCGAUUCGGUCGGGAACUCAAAGGAGACUGCCGGUGAUAAAUCGGAGGAAGGUGGGGAUGACGUCAAGUCAUCAUGGCCCUUACGAGUAGGGCUACACACGUGCUACAAUGGCGUAUACAGAGAGAGGCGAUCCUGCGAGGGGAAGCGGAACUCAGAAAGUACGUCAAAGUCCGGAUUGGAGUCUGCAACUCGACUCCAUGAAGUCGGAAUCGCUAGUAAUCGCGGAUCAGCAUGUCGCGGUGAAUACGUUCCCGGGCCUUGUACACACCGCCCGUCACACCAUGGGAGUGGGUUGCAAAAGAAGUAGGCAGCUUAACCUUUUGGAUGGCGCUUACCACUUUGUGAUUCAUGACUGGGGUGAAGUCGUAACAAUGCGUAACCGUAGGGGAACGCAUGCGGCUGGAUCACCU
Molecule: ribosomal RNA, 1534 nt
Filed under: uncultured bacterium
Lineage: Bacteria
Description: bacterial SSU rRNA
Rfam family: Bacterial small subunit ribosomal RNA
Source: RNAcentral